CUAGCCUACUAAAUAGUCACUGGAUAAUUUAGUCCAGACGACUUCUUAGAGGGACAAGCGGUGUUCAGCCGCACGAAGUUGAGCAAUAACAGGUCUGUGAUGCCCUUAGAUGUCCAGGGCUGCACGCGCGCUACACUGGAGGAAUCAGCGUGCUGUAACCAUUGCCGAAAGGCAUUGGUAACCCCUUGAAAAUCCUCCGUGAUCGGGAUCGGGAAUUGCAAUUAUUUCCCUUGAACGAGGAAUUCCUAGUAAGUGUGAGUCAUCAGCUCACGUUGAUUACGUCCCUGCCCUUUGUACACACCGCCCGUCGCUGCCCGGGACUGAGCCGUUUCGAGAAAAGCGGGGACUGCUGUUUCGAGACCUUUCGGGGUGGAGAUUCUUUGGUGGAAACCGCCUUAAUCGCAGUGGCUUGAACCGGGCAAAAGUCGUAACAAGGUUUCCGUAGGUGAACCUGCGGAAGGAUCAUUAUCGAGCUUCUAAAAAGCCUCAUACCGUACAUACUUCCAUUUGUGCGAAUGUGAGCCGCGUAGCGAAUCGCAAGAAAUGGUCGUCGGCUGUUUAUGGCUGACAAUGACUAGCGAAACGCGUUUGCGCGUUAGGUUCCCUGAGUGUCACGUCAUGCUAAGGUACGUGGCGCUAGCGCUCAGGGAUCCGCCAUUCUGUAACUACGGUGUCACUGGUUGGCGUCUAAACCUUGCUUGAGCUACCGCCCGACCGUCGGUAGCAAUGAGAGCAGGACGAAGUUCCUUUGCUGAGGCGGUCACUAACAUGACUGCUUCAGUAAGGUUGAGCAGACUUAAUAAGCGAAAGCCUCAUUCGCUGCCAGCAACCAAAACACACCCCCAAUACUAUGUGAAUUGAAUUGAUUUCCAGAUGAACGUAUGUUCCAUUAUGGAAAUAAUUUUACUACUCUUAGCGGUGGAUCACUCGGUUCGUGGA
Molecule: ribosomal RNA, 939 nt
Filed under: Cosmocercidae sp. K05-1601
Lineage: Eukaryota; Metazoa; Nematoda; Chromadorea; Rhabditida; Cosmocercidae
Description: bacterial SSU rRNA
Rfam family: Eukaryotic small subunit ribosomal RNA (bases 1-468)
Source: RNAcentral